AUAAAUGAUAUAUUCUUCAAUUAUUACAUUGACAACAAAGCCAUAUUGACCAUCUAGAUUCUCUAUUAAUGACUAAUCCCCUAAAAUGCAUGCAUAUCGACCACUUUUGGCAUAAGCGGAAAGCAUGUAUAUAAGUCAAGGCUGGGUGAGUUAAAACUCCAAUUGCAACUUAGAUAUCCUUCCAUGCAUAGACCCAAAUUCAUCCUACAAAUACUCCAGUCUUG
This 224-nucleotide long non-coding RNA is filed under the name Eucalyptus grandis. RNAcentral describes it as "long non-coding RNA (EGRA_LNC006419)". The record is from RNAcentral. Lineage: Eukaryota; Viridiplantae; Streptophyta; Magnoliopsida; Myrtales; Myrtaceae.